CCUACGGGAGGCAGCAGUGAGGAAUAUUGGUCAAUGGACGAAAGUCUGAACCAGCCAAGUAGCGUGAAGGAUGACUGCCUUAGGGGUUGUAAACUUCUUUUAUAUGGGAAUAAAAUGUUCCACGUGUGGGAUUUGGUAUGUACCAUAUGAAUAAGGAUCGGCUAACUCCGUGCCAGCAGCCGCGGUAAUACGGAGGAUCCGGGGGUUAUCGGAUUUUUUGGGGUUAAGGGGAGCGUAGGUGGAUUGUUAAGUCAGUUGUGAAAGUUUGCGGCUCAACCGUAAAAUUGCAGUUGAAACUGGCAGUCUUGAGUACAGUAGAGGUGGGCGGAAUUCGUGGUGUAGCGGUGAAAUGCUUAGAUAUCACGAAGAACACCGAGUGCGAAGGCAGCUCACGGGACUGCAACUGACGCUGAUGCUCGAAAGUGUGGGUAUCAAACAGGAUUAGAUACCCGGGUAGUC
RNAcentral lists this ribosomal RNA (459 nucleotides) under uncultured bacterium. RNAcentral's name for it is "partial 16S ribosomal RNA". It matches the Rfam family "Bacterial small subunit ribosomal RNA", at positions 338 to 795 of the family's 1533-position model. The record is from RNAcentral.